AUACCUUUCUCGGCCUUUUGGCUAAGAAGAUCCAUUCUUAUUAGUUUAAUAUAUAAUAUAUGGGCCAAUAAGAUCAAGUCUGCACGAUAUUAACUCAAUUUGUUUAGGAAAAAACCCAAUAAGGUAAUUUGCUGCUUGGACCUUUGUGCGUCGCCUUGGUGUUGCACUACUACCUUCGCCUGGUGUAACCUAC
This 193-nucleotide small nuclear RNA is filed under the name Ipomoea nil (Japanese morning glory). RNAcentral's name for it is "U2 spliceosomal RNA". It matches the Rfam family "U2 spliceosomal RNA". From Rfam's summary of the family: U2 is a small nuclear RNA (snRNA) component of the spliceosome (involved in pre-mRNA splicing). Complementary binding between U2 snRNA (in an area lying towards the 5' end but 3' to hairpin I) and the branchpoint sequence (BPS) of the intron results the bulging out of an unpaired adenosine, on the BPS, which initiates a nucleophilic attack at the intronic 5' splice site, thus starting the first of two transesterification reactions that mediate splicing. The record is from Rfam by way of RNAcentral. Lineage: Eukaryota; Viridiplantae; Streptophyta; Magnoliopsida; Solanales; Convolvulaceae.